RNAcentral lists this ribosomal RNA (496 nucleotides) under uncultured bacterium. RNAcentral's name for it is "partial 16S ribosomal RNA". It matches the Rfam family "Bacterial small subunit ribosomal RNA", at positions 29 to 507 of the family's 1533-position model. The record is from RNAcentral.
ACGAACGCUGGCGGCGUGCCUAAUACAUGCCAGUAGAACGCUGAAGGAAGGAGCUUGCUCUUUCUGGAUGAGUUGCGAACGGGUGAGUAACGCGUAGGUAACCUGCCUGGUAGCGGGGGAUAACUAUUGGAAACGAUAGCUAAUACCGCAUAAAAUUGAUUAUUGCAUGAUAGUCAAUUAAAAGGUGCAACUGCACCACUACCAGAUGGACCUGCGUUGUAUUAGCUAGUUGGUGGGGUAACGGCUCACCAAGGCGACGAUACAUAGCCGACCUGAGAGGGUGAUCGGCCACACUGGGACUGAGACACGGCCCAGACCCCUACGGGAGGCAGCAGUAGGGAAUCUUCGGCAAUGGACGGAAGUCUGACCGAGCAACGCCGCGUGAGUGAAGAAGGUUUUCGGAUCGUAAAGCUCUGUUGUAAGAGAAGAACGAGUGUGAGAGUGGAAAGUUCACACUGUGACGGUAUCUUACCAGAAAGGGACGGCUAACUACGUG